GAAGGUGGCAAGCGUUGUUCGGAAUCACUGGGCUUAAAGCGCGCGUAGGCGGAAAUUCAAGUGUCUUGUGAAAUCCCUCGGCUUAACCGAGGAAUUGCUUGGCAAACUGAAUUUCUUGAGAUAAGUAGGGGUACAUGGAACUCUUGGUGGAGCGGUGGAAUGCGUAGAUAUCAAGAGGAACGCCGAAGGUGAAGACAGUGUACUGGGCUUAUUCUGACGCUGAGGUGCGAAAGCGUGGGGAGCGAACGGGGGAUUAGAUACCCCGGUAGUCCACGCCGUAAACGAUGUCUACUAGGUUGUGGAGGUUCUGACACCCCUCACAGUCGAAGCAAAAGUGUUAAGUAGACCGCCUGGGGGAGUACGGUCGCAAGGCUA
RNAcentral lists this ribosomal RNA (375 nucleotides) under uncultured organism. RNAcentral describes it as "partial 16S ribosomal RNA". It matches the Rfam family "Bacterial small subunit ribosomal RNA", at positions 527 to 896 of the family's 1533-position model. The record is from RNAcentral.